Unclassified non-coding RNA from Macaca mulatta (Rhesus monkey), 117 nucleotides. It matches the Rfam family "Metazoan signal recognition particle RNA". Rfam says of the family: The signal recognition particle (SRP) is a universally conserved ribonucleoprotein. It is involved in the co-translational targeting of proteins to membranes. Lineage: Eukaryota; Metazoa; Chordata; Mammalia; Primates; Cercopithecidae. The record is from Ensembl.
GCUGGGCGUGGUGGCUCACGCCUGUAAUCCUAGCACUUUGGGAGGCCGAGGCGGGUGGAUUGCUUGAGCUCAGGAGUUCGAGAUCAGCCUGGGCAAUACAGUAAAACCCCGUCUCUA